UUGGAGGGCAAGUCUGGUGCCAGCAGCCGCGGUAAUUCCAGCUCCAAUAGCGUAUAUUAAAGUUGUUGCAGUUAAAAAGCUCGUAGUUGAAUUUCGGGGUUAGUAGGUUGGUCAUGCCUCUGGUAUGUACUGGUCUCACUGAUUCCUCCUUCCUGAUGAGCCGUAAUGCCAUUAAUUUGGUGUUGCGGGGAAUUUGGACUGUUACUUUGAAAAAAUUAGAGUGUUUAAAGCAAGCUAACGCUUGAAUACAUUAGCAUGGAAUAAUGAAAUAGGACGUUCGAUCCUAUUUUGUUGGUUUCUAGGAUUGACGUAAUGAUUAAUAGGGAUAGUUGGGGGCAUUAGUAUUCAAUUGUCAGAGGUGAAAUUCUUGGAUUUAUUGAAGACUAACUACUGCGAAAGCAUUUGCCAAGGAUGUUUUCAUUAAUCAAGAACGAAAGUUAGGGGAUCGAAGACGAUCAGAUACCGUCGUAGUCUUAACCAUAGACUAUGCCGACUAGGGAUCGGAUGAUGUUAAUUUUUUAAUGACUCAUUCGGCGCCUUACGGGAAAC
RNAcentral lists this ribosomal RNA (549 nucleotides) under uncultured Glomeromycotina. Its description in RNAcentral is "SSU rRNA". It matches the Rfam family "Eukaryotic small subunit ribosomal RNA", at positions 548 to 1098 of the family's 1831-position model. The record is from RNAcentral. Lineage: Eukaryota; Fungi; Glomeromycota.